This 351-nucleotide unclassified non-coding RNA is filed under the name uncultured fungus. Its description in RNAcentral is "partial contains small subunit ribosomal RNA, internal transcribed spacer 1, and 5.8S ribosomal RNA". The stretch from base 1 to 73 matches the Rfam family "Eukaryotic small subunit ribosomal RNA", at positions 1759 to 1831 of the family's 1831-position model. Lineage: Eukaryota; Fungi. The record is from RNAcentral.
ACAAACUUGGUCAUUUAGAGGAAGUAAAAGUCGUAACAAGGUUUCCGUAGGUGAACCUGCGGAAGGAUCAUUACCAAUUUGUCCACUGGCAACCUCUGUGCACUGUUUCUGCUUGUGCUGGUCGUGCUGUUGAAUGUGUUGUUGAGUGGUGUGUCCGUUUGGAUGCCGUUCACGGGGCUUUUGCAGCUUUGCGCCACGCAAGCAGUUUUACACAACCUGUUUAUGUUUGCAAGGAUUCUUGGUCAAAAGAAUUCUGUUGUCUGAAACUGUAUUUUCAAUUCGAUAUGAAUGAAAAAAUAGAUAACUUUUAACAACGGAUCUCUUGGCUCUCGCAUCGAUGAAGAACGCAGC